This 253-nucleotide ribosomal RNA is filed under the name uncultured bacterium. Its description in RNAcentral is "partial 16S ribosomal RNA". It matches the Rfam family "Bacterial small subunit ribosomal RNA", at positions 524 to 776 of the family's 1533-position model. The record is from RNAcentral.
UACGUAGGGUGCAAGCGUUGUCCGGAUUUAUUGGGCGUAAAGAGCGUGUAGGCGGCCUGAAAGGUCAGCUGUGAAAACUCGAGGCUCAACCUCGAGACGUCGGUUGAAACCAUCUGGCUAGAGUCCGGAAGAGGAGUGUGGAAUUCCCGGUGUAGCGGUGAAAUGCGCAGAUAUCGGGAAGAACACCCGUGGCGAAGGCGGCACUCUGGGACGGUACUGACGCUGAGGAGCGAAAGCGUGGGGAGCGAACAGG